UACCGGGGGGAGGGGACCCCGCCCGCGCCCACCCCCCCCGCCGAGCCCUCGCCCGAGUUGGCCGAGAUGUAAACGAUGACGCCGACGAUGUUGGACAGGCCUGGCAGCGAAGGGGUUAAAUGGCUCGUUAAUGGGGGGGGAAAUUAAUUAAAGAGGUAAAAAAUGGGAGAAAUUAAAAAAAUCGGGGGAAAUGUAAAGGAAAUGGUUAAAAAAGGGGAAUGAUGGAAAGGAUGGCGGCGGCGAUGUUGGACAGGCCUGGCAGCGAAGGGGUUAAAUGAUUCGUUAAUGGGGGGGGAAAUUAAUUAAAGAGGUAAAAAUGGGGAGAAAUUAAAAAAAUCGGGGGAAAAUGUAAAGGAAAUUAUUAAAAAAGGGGAAUGAUGGAAAGGAUGGCGGCGGCGAUGUUGGACAGGCCUGGCAGCGAAGGGGUUAAAUGAUUCGUUAAUGGGGGGGAAAAAAUGGGGGGAAAUUAAAAAUUUGAAAUUAAAAAUAUAUGGGGGGAAAAGAUUUUUUAAUGGGGGAAAAUUAAAAAAAAGGGAUGAAUUUUGGGAUGGAUUUUGGGGGUUUUGGGAUGGGUUUUGGGAUGGAUUUUUUUGUGGAUUUUGAAGUUUUUUGGGAUGGAUUUUUGGAUGGAUUUUGGGUGGAUUUCGGGGUUUUUGGGAUGGUUUUUGGGAUGGAUUUUGGAUGGAUUUUGGGAUGGAUUUUUGGGGUUUUUGGGAUGGUUUUUGAGAUGGAUUUCGGGGAUGGAUUUUGGGAUGGAUUUUUUAUGGAUUUUGAUGGUUUUUGGGAUGGAUUUCGGGAUGGAUUUUGGGAUGGAUUUUGGGAUGGAUUUUGGGAUGGAUUUUGGGAUGGAUUUUUUAUGGAUUUUGGGAUGGAUUUUCGGGGUUUUUGGGAUGGAUUUCGGGGAUUUUGGGGCGGAUUUGGGGGUCAUACCCGCGGCCACAAAGAGGAUGCCGGGAUGGAUUUUGGGAUGGAUUUUGGGAUGGAUUUUGGGAUGGAUUUUGGGGUGGAUUUCAGGGAUUUUGGGGUGGAUUUGGGGGUCAUACCCGCGGCCACGAAGAGGAUGCCGGGAUGGAUUUGGGAUGGAUUUUGGGGUGGAUUUCGGGGAUUUUGGGGCGGAUUUGGGGGUCAUACCGGCGGCCACGAAGAGGAUGCCGGCGCCGAGCACGAGGCUGGUCCUGGCCCGCCGCAGGCGCGAGGCGGCCACGCAGAGCCCCCCCAGCAGCAGCAG
Molecule: long non-coding RNA, 1228 nt
Filed under: Lonchura striata (white-rumped munia)
Lineage: Eukaryota; Metazoa; Chordata; Aves; Passeriformes; Estrildidae
Description: domestica (Bengalese finch) lncRNA (ENSLSDG00000011241.1)
Source: RNAcentral